GAUGAACGCUGGCGGCGUGCCUAAUACAUGCAAGUCGAACGAAACUUCUUUAUCACCGAGUGCUUGCACUCACCGAUAAAGAGUUGAGAGGCGAACGGGUGAGUAACACGUGGGCAGCCUGCCCAAAAGAGGGGGAUAACACUUGGAAACAGGUGCUAAUACCGCAUAACCAUAGUUACCGCAUGGUAACUAUGUAAAAGGUGGCUAUACUACCGCUUUUGGAUGGGCCCGCGGCGCAUUAGCUAGUUGGUAGGGUAAAGGCUUACCAAGGCAAUGAUGCGUAGCCGAAUUGAGAGGUUGAUCGGCCACAUUGGGACUGAGACACGGCCCAAACUCCUACGGGAGGCAGCAGUAGGGAAUCUUCCACAAUGGGCGAAAGCCUGAUGGAGCAACGCCGCGUGGGUGAAGAAGGUCUUCGGAUCGUAAAACCCUGUUGUUAGAGAAGAAAGUGCGUGAGAGUAACUGUUCACGUUUCGACGGUAUCUAACCAGAAAGCCACGGCUAACUACGUG
RNAcentral lists this ribosomal RNA (512 nucleotides) under uncultured bacterium. Its description in RNAcentral is "partial 16S ribosomal RNA". It matches the Rfam family "Bacterial small subunit ribosomal RNA", at positions 28 to 507 of the family's 1533-position model. The record is from RNAcentral.